UACGGAAGGUCCGGGCGUUAUCCGGAUUUAUUGGGUUUAAAGGGAGCGUAGGCCGGAGAUUAAGCGUGUUGUGAAAUGUAGAUGCUCAACAUCUGAACUGCAGCGCGAACUGGUUUCCUUGAGUACGCACAAAGUGGGCGGAAUUCGUAGUGUAGCGGUGAAAUGCUUAGAUAUCACGAAGAACUCCGAUUGCGAAGGCAGCUCACUGGAGCGCAACUGACGCUGAAGCUCGAAAGUGCGGGUAUCGAACAGG
RNAcentral lists this ribosomal RNA (253 nucleotides) under Segatella copri DSM 18205. Its description in RNAcentral is "Prevotella copri DSM 18205 partial 16S ribosomal RNA". It matches the Rfam family "Bacterial small subunit ribosomal RNA", at positions 524 to 776 of the family's 1533-position model. Lineage: Bacteria; Pseudomonadati; Bacteroidota; Bacteroidia; Bacteroidales; Prevotellaceae. The record is from RNAcentral.